Molecule: ribosomal RNA, 253 nt
Filed under: uncultured bacterium
Lineage: Bacteria
Description: partial 16S ribosomal RNA
Rfam family: Bacterial small subunit ribosomal RNA
Source: RNAcentral
UACGUAGGUGGCAAGCGUUGUCCGGAAUUAUUGGGCGUAAAGCGCGCGCAGGCGGCCUCCUAAGUCCGAUGUGAAAGCCCACGGCUCAACCGUGGAGGGUCAUUGGAAACUGGGGGACUUGAGUGCAGGAGAGAAGAGUGGAAUUCCACGUGUAGCGGUGAAAUGCGUAGAGAUGUGGAGGAACACCAGUGGCGAAGGCGACUCUUUGGCCUGUAACUGACGCUGAGGCGCGACAGCGUGGGGAGCAAACAGG